RNAcentral lists this unclassified non-coding RNA (314 nucleotides) under plant metagenome. RNAcentral describes it as "partial contains 5.8S ribosomal RNA, internal transcribed spacer 2, and large subunit ribosomal RNA". The stretch from base 1 to 105 matches the Rfam family "5.8S ribosomal RNA", at positions 50 to 154 of the family's 154-position model. The record is from RNAcentral.
GAAAUGCGAUAAUUAAUGUGAAUUGCAGAAUUCAGUGAAUCAUCGAGUCUUUGAACGCACAUUGCGCCCCCUGGUAUUCCGGGGGGCAUGCCUGUCCGAGCGUCAUUGCUGCCCUCAAGCACGGCUUGUGUGUUGGGCUUCCGUCCCUGGCAACGGGGACGGGCCCAAAAGGCAGUGGCGGCACCAUGUCUGGUCCUCGAGCGUAUGGGGCUUUGUCACCCGCUCCCGUAGGUCCAGCUGGCAGCUAGCCUCGCAACCAAUCUUUUUAACCAGGUUGACCUCGGGUCAGGUAGGGAUACCCGCUGAACUUAAGC